Molecule: transfer RNA, 69 nt
Filed under: Leptoscarus vaigiensis (marbled parrotfish)
Lineage: Eukaryota; Metazoa; Chordata; Actinopteri; Labriformes; Labridae
Description: tRNA-Met
Rfam family: tRNA
About the family: Transfer RNA (tRNA) molecules are approximately 80 nucleotides in length. Their secondary structure includes four short double-helical elements and three loops (D, anti-codon, and T loops).
Source: RNAcentral
GGCAAAGUAAGCUAAAAAAACUAUUGGGCCCAUACCCCAAAAAUGCUGGUUAACAUCCAGCCUUUGCUA